AUUGAACGCUGGCGGCAGGCUUAACACAUGCAAGUCGAGCGAGCGGCGGACGGGUGAGUAAUGUCUGGGAAACUGCCUGAUGGAGGGGGAUAACUACUGGAAACGGUAGCUAAUACCGCAUACCCUCAGAUGUGCCCAAAUGGGAUUAGCUAGUAGGGGGGGUAAUGGCUCACCUAGGCGACGAUCCCUAGAUGGUCUGAGAGGAUGACCAGCCACACGGGAACUGAGACAGGGUCCAGAAGCCUACGGGAGGCAGCAGUGGGGAAUAUUGCACAAUGGGCGCAAGCCUGAUGCAGCCAUGCCGCGUGUGUGAAGAAGGCCUUCGGGUUGUAAAGCACUUUCAGCGAGGAGGCGUGACUCGCAGAAGAAGCACCGGCUAACUCCGGGCCAGCAGCCGCGGUAAUUC
This 406-nucleotide ribosomal RNA is filed under the name uncultured bacterium. RNAcentral describes it as "partial 16S ribosomal RNA". It matches the Rfam family "Bacterial small subunit ribosomal RNA", at positions 29 to 526 of the family's 1533-position model. The record is from RNAcentral.